This 433-nucleotide ribosomal RNA is filed under the name uncultured bacterium. Its description in RNAcentral is "partial 16S ribosomal RNA". It matches the Rfam family "Bacterial small subunit ribosomal RNA", at positions 29 to 507 of the family's 1533-position model. The record is from RNAcentral.
AACGAACGCUGGCGGCAUGCCUAACACAUGCAAGUCGAACGAGACCUUCGGGUCUAGUGGCGCACGGGUGCGUAACGCGUGAGAACCUGCCCUUAGGUUCGGAAUAACUCCCCGAAAGGGGUGCUAAUACCGGAUAAUGUCUUCGGACCAAAGAUUUAUCGCCUUUGGAUGGGCCCGCGUUGGAUUAGCUAGUUGGUAGGGUAAAAGCCUACCAAGGCGACGAUCCAUAGCUGGUCUGAGAGGAUGAUCAGCCACACUGGGACUGAGACACGGCCCAGACUCCUACGGGAGGCAGCAGUGGGGAAUAUUGGACAAUGGGCGAAAGCCUGAUCCAGCAAUGCCGCGUGAGUGAUGAAGGCCUUAGGGUUGUAAAGCUCUUUUACCCGGGAUGAUAAUGACAGUACCGGGAGAAUAAGCUCCGGCUAACUCCGUA